Molecule: ribosomal RNA, 448 nt
Filed under: uncultured bacterium
Lineage: Bacteria
Description: partial 16S ribosomal RNA
Rfam family: Bacterial small subunit ribosomal RNA
Source: RNAcentral
ACCAGACUCCUACGGGAGGCAGCGGUGGGGGAUAUUGCACAAUGGGGGGAACCCUGAUGCAGCGACGCCGCGUGGGUGAAGAAGCGCCUCGGCGCGUAAAGCCCUGUCAGCAGGGAAGAAAAUGACGGGACCUGAAGAAGAAGCCCCGGCUAACUACGUGCCAGCAGCCGCGGUAAUACGUAGGGGGCAAGCGUUAUCCGGAGUUACUGGGCGUAAAGGGGGCGCAGACGGCGAUGCAAGCCAGGAGUGAAAGCCCCGGGCGCAGCCCCGGGACUGCUCUUGGAACUGCGUGGCUGGAGUGCAGUAGGGGCAGGCGGAAUUCCUGGUGUAGCGGUGAAAUGCGUAGAUAUUAGGAGGAACACCGGCGGCGAAGGCGGCCUGCUGGACCGUAACUGACGUUGAGGCUCGAAAGCGUGGGGAGCAAACAGGAUUAGCUACCCCCGUAAAC